Molecule: long non-coding RNA, 189 nt
Organism: Poecilia latipinna (sailfin molly)
Lineage: Eukaryota; Metazoa; Chordata; Actinopteri; Cyprinodontiformes; Poeciliidae
Exons: 2
Source: RefSeq, a predicted model, not a curated record
CAAACCCACAUGCAGAAUCAAGCCCGGAGAUUACUGGUGAAACAGCUGAUGUUGUAUCCAUCAUGUGUGUCUGACAGAGUGAUGUUCUCCUGGAUUUUAGUUGUAAAGGUUCCAUCUGUGUUUUUCUCUGUUUGUCUGAGAGAGUCUUGUUGGAGAUUCCAGGUGAGUUCAGGAGGUGAGUGUGGACAG